Molecule: ribosomal RNA, 440 nt
Filed under: uncultured bacterium
Lineage: Bacteria
Description: partial 16S ribosomal RNA
Rfam family: Bacterial small subunit ribosomal RNA
Source: RNAcentral
CCUACGGGCGGCAGCAGUGGGGAAUAUUGCACAAUGGGGGGAACCCUGAUGCAGCGACGCCGCGUGAGUGAAGAAGUAUUUCGGUAUGUAAAGCUCUAUCAGCAGGGAAGAAAAUGACGGUACCUGACUAAUAAGCUCCGUCUAACUACGUGCAAGCAGCCGCGGUAAUACGUAGGGGGCAAGCGUUAUCCGGAUUUACUGGGUGUAAUGGGAGCGCAGGCGGCUGUGGAAGUCUGGAGUGAAAGGGGGGGGCCCAACCCCAGGACUGCACUUGAAACUGUAAAGCUGGAGUGCAGGAGAGGUGAGCGGAAUUCCUAGUGUAGCGGUGAAAUGCGUAGAUAUUAGGAGGAACACCAGUGGCGAAGGCGGCUUACUGGACUGCAACUGACGUUGAGGCUCGAAAGCGUGGGGAGCAAACAGGAUUAGAUACCCCAGUAGUC